GUGCGGGGACGGCACUGGGCGUUGUCUUUGCCUGAUGAGAGUAUUGUAGUGUUGGGUUGUCCGGUCUAGUGGCGCCAUUAUUGUCUUCCUAAAGAUCAUCGGCAAAGCACUUCCCCGGUACCAUUAGCGACGAGGACGAGGAGUGACUCAUGUUCCAUGAUCUUUCACCCCAAGCUGGGAUGCUUUUCCUAGUCAUGCCUAAGGAGCCAGUUACUGGGUUGUCUGAAGCAGAAGAUUCUGGUGAAUCUUUGUAUGUUGCAGGAAUGACAUGAACUGAUGAAGACUGAAUUUUGCAAGGAGCAACAAGAGUGUGAUGAUGACCUGAACCGGGCCAGCGUCAAUGCCCAAUGAUCAGAUGUGCUGAAGCCUUGCUUCCUGGGAAGUGGCUGGACAUUGCUCACCAAUGGGAAGUAGAGAUUUUUUUUUUCCUGUUUGCUUAUGCGCAUGCAAACUUUUGUGCUUUUUUUCUUGCUUUAGUAUACUGUUUUAUCUCAACCUACUAGUUAUUUUCCAUCCUAUUUUUCUCUCCUGUCUUGCUGGGGAGUGAUAGGAUGGCUUGCUGGGUACCUGGUUUCUAGCCAAGGUCAAGCCACUAUGUACACUCCUUGUCAGAAAAUAUAAGCUUUAAGGAUAGGCCAGUUUUCAAUAUUUAGGCUUCCUUUCCUUUUGGAGUCCAUAACCUUAGAGGUUCAGGUAUUGUCAUAACCGAAAAAAUAUAUGUCCCAGACAACCACACUUAUUACUCCCACCAUCCAGGUUUCAGAGGCAUUCCCAAGACCCAUACCCAGGGACAGAGGAAGAAGUCAGUGGGCACCAUGGGAUGAUUACAUUCAGUAAAAAUUCUACGACAUGAUAGUCUAGAUUGCCUCAGCGGUGGGGGUCAAAGAUAUGCCAAACACAAGUUAUUCCAAACUCCUCAGCAUAUUGUUUCACUCAGGGUCCUGGGUUCAGACCAAAUGCCUUUCCUACUUUACCAAACCCUUCAUUGGUUCUCAAAUUUGAAAUCUUUCUUCUCUUUUGUGAGCUUAACAACUUAUGCCGCCUUCAUCCACAGCUUGAGAACUUUCGAGCUGCCACUUCAGCUCCUCUGACAGCCCAUUUUCUCCCUCCUUCCAGGGGCCACCAACAGUUUGACAGCCCUUUCUUCUGUAUAAUUGGGCUUUACAGCUUUCUUACCUCUGUGUGCUUCCCUUGAUAUAGUAAUUUUAUACUUUUCUCUGAGGAAGGAAGAGGUACACAAAUUUGAUUCCAUAAUCAUGAAAUCCUAUGUGAGCUCCCAAAACUGAGGGAGAAAUCUUUUCCACAUACUGUAGCAAUCUGAGAGAAAAUACAAACAUGUAAAACAUUGCUUGCGACAAACUUACAUAAAACACAUACAAACAUAAAUAUCUCAAAACUUUCAAGAUAAAAACAUGUAAAAAUUGAUGCAGCAAAGAACAGCAACUCUUCAGUCCUGUUGUCACUUCACUCUCUCAUGGAACACCUCUUGAAAUAUCUGCAAGAGGAGAAAAAAAAGAAAACUCAGUCCUGUUUGGACCAGUCUUAAAAGGAAAAAAACUGUCCAUCUGAUGGUAUUUUGUGUUUUCUGCCAGAGGCAUCUGUGGCCUUUAAUUCCAGAAUGACUUCAGCAAUUCAGUUGCUUGCCUCUAGUGGCAGACAAGGCUCUAUGUUCACUACCACCAGAAGGUGGCAGUGUAGGAGCAUUUUGCAAACCUUCAUUGCCAAUCCAGGGAAACUGAAUUUCCAUUUAUUUCCAGGGAGCCUUUUAGGAUAUCUGAAUUCACCACCCUCUCCCAGCUCACUUUUUGGGGGCAGAGCUGAGAAUUUAUUUUCUUGGUGUUGAUCCUUAAAUUUUGCAAUACACAACAACAACACAGGAGAAGGCUGACAGGACACCAGCUGUUUCUCAUGCAUUGGUUGGAAGCCAGAUGCCUCCCACAGUCUCUUGGUGCUUUUAGCAAAUUUUGGAGUGGGAAGAGGGCUGGAUUCUCCCCCCUCCAACAGAUCCACACUUUUUACACUAAAGGUUGUUCCCUGGGCAAGAGACCAGGGCUCUUUGCCAAAUGCUUUUUCCUCAGAAAGCUUUGUUUCAUUCCCCCUCAUUACCGAAAUUUUCAAAACAUUCUCUAUUUCAUUUUCUUUGGGAUGAUUGCUACUUUUCUCUUGCUACAUAACCAAUUCUGUUGCAGAGUGAGAUAUAAUUACCAUGGGCUCUGCCUCCUGGUAAAGAAUUCCAUCUUUACAAGUGGGCAGAUCUUGGGGUGGGUGAGGGAAGAGGGGGCUGGCUUUACAGAGUUCUCCUCCAGGGAGUGGAGGAAGGUAACAUCAUGCUCAGGGAGUCUCACCUCCCUCUCUGCCUCCUAAUUUUUUACAGGUGGGCAGAGUUUAGGAUGAUGAAGGGGGUUUGGCUGUGCUACAUCCAACUCCUUCCAAGGGCUGAGGGGGUUGACAUCCUGCUCAUGGAAGUUUGCCUCCUCGAGGCUGGAAAACCCUGGUUCAUUCUCCACACCUCACCCAUCAGUGUUAAUUUGCAAAUUGGAACAUCUUUGGCUCUGGACAAGCUUGUUCAACUGGUUUUUCAGGUUUUGGGAUAACUUUUCCACAUACAAUUCUGGAUCCACCCUGAGUUUACCUAUUGUUUCAGCCACCAAAGCAAUUUGCAACUCAAUUAGCUCUCUGUUGCUGCUCAGCAACAUAUUCCUCUUUGUGCAGCUAUGAGCCCAGCUUCCACCCAUAUGGUUACCAAACAAUUUUCCUUAUUAGAGAUUUUUUCAAUUUCUUUACUCAAAGAUCUGAUUUUCUCUGCAACUAAAUGUGGAUUGUGCCAGAUUUCCUCAACCCACAUCUCUCUUAUGGCCAGACAAGCUUUGUAAACUUUUAGCAGCUCUAUCAGUGGAGGGAAGUCCAGGUCCAUUUUUACCCUGGUGUUGGAAAAGAUACCAUGCUUAAAAAAUUGUAUAUAACUUUAGUCAGGGAUUUAGUUAGCCUUUGCUCUGAGGGAAAGGAAUUUCAAGUUUAUUUUCAGGGGACUGUUUCAUCACUCAAGGCAUGAUGAGCUUAACAUCACAGACUGGGAGUAGCACAGAAGAGACACAAAAGAUAACAACCAUUAACUACCAUUAAAGACCAGCAACUCUGAAUAUCACCCCUGGCAUGGUCAGAGACACCUGGUCCAGAAAGGACUGAUAAGACAACCAAGGAAUGAGGACCAAAUUAGCAUUGGAGAUGAAGAAAUCUGUAACCAAUAGGAAGCCAAAUACUAAGAACUGCGUAACUUGGGUCCAGUGAACAUUUAACCAAUUAAUUUCUAUGGGUUUUGACUGUAUAAAUUAUGUGAAAAAUCUAGUAAAAGUCGUAUGUGAUGGAAGGAUUUUCUCUGAACAACCUGGCCAAUGUGUGGAUUAAAUUAUUUCUGUUGCACAUCCUGGCCAGAACAGCAUCCUGGCCCGAAUAAAGUAAUGCCUUGAUUCUCUAACACUAAAAAUGUUGCUGGAGAGUUUUUGUUUUUCCUGAAGUUUCGAUCACACUGUUUUCCAUGACCUUUCUGAUGGAAAAGAUUGUUUAUGACCAAAAUUCAGUUUCUCCUUUAUUCUGCCACUAGCAGUUUUCUCUGUAUAAAACACCUCUUCACCUCAAGAGUACCCUGCUUGCUGUGCCAAUAAAAUGCAAGGCCCCAAGACCCACUCAACGAGACACUUAUAAGGCUUUAUUUUUUAUGUACCCUGAGUUAGACACAGCAGAAAUACCAAUAAGAUGUUCUCAAGUGGUCAAAAGAACAAAUACUUUACCAAAAACUUCAGAAAAUCAGAGAACUUUGAAAGAAGUUUAAAGCAACAUCCCAUCAACAUAAAACAUUUCACAAUCAUUAACUUAGCCCAUUCAACUUAGCAAACUCCAAGCCCAUCCAAUUUUGACUUACUCAAAAUUGUGAGAAGAGGGAAUUAGAACAAGAAGAAGAAAGACAGAAAAUACAUAGAAAAGAACAAAUUUCGUUACCACUUGCUUCCAGCAGUGUCUCAGCUGAUAGAAAUUUGAAGAGGAGGUAGGGUCAAGACGUGCUUGCUUCAUGUCCUUGCUUAACUAUCUGUAUUGAGUCUGGCUGAGCUGGAGUUCAUUAUCUCAUAGCACCCUCACAGUGCUGUGCUUUGCAUUGGUAGCUAGAAAGGUGUUGAUAACACACCAGUGUUUCGGCUACUGCUGAGCAGCAUUAGCACAGCAUCAGUGCUGUCUUCUCUGACAUUCCUCCCCCCCAUCAAGGGUCUGGGAGUGGGAAAGAUCCUGGGAGGGGACACAACCAGGCCAGCUGACCCAAAUUAAACAACGGCAUGUUCCAUACCAUAUGAUGUCAGCUGAGAUAUAAAAGCUAAGUGAAGGAGAAAGAAUGGGGGCAUUUGUUAUUUUACAGUGUUUUCCUUCCUGUAGCAACUGCUAUGUGUGGUAAAGCCCUGCUUCCCAGGAAAUGUCUGAACAUCACUUGCCAAUGAUGAUCAUGAAAUACACCUCCCUCUUUCUGCCUGUCCUGGGGUGAGUGUGAUGUUAAAUUGUAUCCCCAUUCGUCCACCUAGCCCAGAAAUAGGUUUUGUAUCCUUAAAACUUCAUUUAAGAGUAAAAGUGAGUGGAGAAGAAGCACCGAGUCUGUUAUCAGAGACUGUACUUGCUCCCCCCGCAUCCCAGGAUGGGGUUUUGACUACAGCACAGACAACAAGAAAGAGAUCGCCUUGGCUUUCCAACUAGCUGAAGCAGAGAGGUCUUCCUGGACUGUUUUCUUUCCCUUUUCCUUGAAACGGAUCGAACCUGCUCUGGACUGGGGACUUGGGGGAGCACCGGGAGCUUGCACCCUUGGACUACCAGGGGCCUAGCCUGGGCAGCGGCAUUUUCCAGUGCCAGAGGGACUGAUAACAGAGCGAGAACAUCCACAGGAAAGAAACCCUCUGAAUUUUGUCAUCUCUUCAGAGCGGCGAGAGGUUUUGUAAUUUGAUAUUGUUCAUUCUUGUGCUGGGUAGUGCUGUGCCUGUGAAAUAAACAGGUUUUUUCCACUUCUCUCAGAGAAAUCUCUUCCCGAACCAGUUGGGGGGUGGGAGAAAGGGGCCAUGUGGGUUUGCUUCCCGGGGCAGGGGGGGGCAUUGGAGGUUUUCUCCCAAAUUUGCCCUAAACCAGGACAGUGUCAUUAAUAACUGAAUGUUCAAGUGUAUCCUCAUGAAUGUAAAGAUUGAGCAUAUAUCCUAAAGUGGAAUAAAGAGCUGCUUUAACAGAAGUGGAAAAUACUUUUGAUUACCCCCACACAACUGUGAGAUCUACUGCCAGAGACUCCUAAAUUACAUUAAUAAAAUCGGCUCCAGGAAGAAGAACACAGACAAACUAUACUGGACAACACAGUAAACAGUAAAUCCAUUUAAAACUGUAACAAAACACAAAAUUCUAAAAUGAAAUGCAUCAAAUGGUUUAUCCUUUUUGUAUUUCCAGAGCAGUGUUUCUAGUAUGCCAGCAUGGUUGUUUCCAGAUUGGUUAGUCAACCAUCUUAAGAGAACCUUGUAAUAACUGUAAUAGCAAGUAUAGCUUCAAAUACUAGAGGAAUAAGUAAGUAAGUAAAAGAGAGGAGUGUCCUUUUCACUAAGGACCACUCUAACAUCACAUUUAUAAUCAGUUAUUUAACAAAUUAAAAGUGAAAAUAUCUCAAAGAAUGGCUGGCUACUCCAACUUGUUUACCUAAUAAUACUGAGAAUACUCAUCUGUGGAGGAGGCCUAGUUCUCUGACAGGCAUCUGUGGCAUCCUACCUGGAGAUCAAUCCCCUAAGAUAAAACUGCCUAGUCACUGUGACUAAGCUGUGGACCCCCCUCUGCCUCAGGACCCCCUGUUAACUAUUGGUCAUCUUACCCCAGUCCCAGACUAUUGGUCCCCUUCCUGAUCCUCCCCUUGCCUAUAAAAACCCCAGCUUUUAUCUAGUUCGGGGUUAGACCAUCACUGGCCCCCUUCGCUGAAGCCUGCAUUAAAGACUCCUUGAGGAAUGCCUUAUGGUCUUCCUGUCUCUUGUCUGUGUCAGCAGGGGAACCCUGGAAUGGAGCUGGCUGGGCUGAACAGAGCUGAUCACAGAGCAAAAAUUACUGCUAAAAGAGCUGAUCACUUAAGGCCCUUGCCAGUGCUCCAAGGAUUACCUCUGGCUUGAGGCUGCCUGCAGAACCCCAGACGGCAGCUCUGUUCCAUGGGAUAGCCUGUCUGGGCUCGUUGCCAGCAGAAGCUGGGGGUCUGACUGGCUCCCAGGAUCCCAGCCUGCAAAACUCAUCUGUAUUGUUAAAGUACUAACUUCAUUAGUAACUGUCACAUUUCUAACUCUUGCUGUUACUAUGUAUGUUUAUAUAAAUUUAUGUUUUUAUUACUGGUUGCCACAAUGAGUGGAAAAGUUCCUCCUUCAAUUUAGUUUUGGGAGCUCAUAUCCUUAUGGAAGCUAAUCUAUAUACCUCUUCCUAUCUCCUCAAGGCAAAGUAUAAAAUUACCAAGAGAAGUGUAUGUAGUAAUGGUAAGAGAUGUGUAAUUUGUGCAGAAGUGGCAGCUGGAAAGUUCUUUCCAGCUGUAAAGGUGACUAAAAGAAAGAUUUUGGAUUUAAUAACCACUGACAGUUUCAAUUGCAGUGAAAAAAGGUAUUUGUCCAAAAUCAUGACCCUCAAAAUAAUAUGCUGAGGAGAUCAAAAUGUGUAUUGUUG
Long non-coding RNA from Poecile atricapillus (Black-capped chickadee), 6699 nucleotides. RefSeq lists it as uncharacterized. The record is from RefSeq and is a predicted model, not a curated record. The transcript is spliced from 5 exons. Lineage: Eukaryota; Metazoa; Chordata; Aves; Passeriformes; Paridae.